Molecule: ribosomal RNA, 238 nt
Filed under: uncultured bacterium
Lineage: Bacteria
Description: partial 16S ribosomal RNA
Rfam family: Bacterial small subunit ribosomal RNA
Source: RNAcentral
UGAGGAACAUGACCUUCGGCGGGGGAUAGCCGGCCCAACGGCCGGGUAAUACCGCGUACGACCACAUGGGGACAUCCCUGAGUGGUGAAAGCAGCAAUGCGCCGAUGGAGUGCCUCGCGGCCUAUCAGCUAGUUGGUGAGGUAACGGCUCACCAAGGCGACGACGGGUAGCUGGUCUGGAGGGGGAUGGGCCAGCCACAGUUGGGACUGAGACCACGGCCCAGACCUCCGUAGGGAGG